CCUACGGGUGUCAGCAGUGAGGAAUAUUGGUCAAUGGGCUUACGCCUGAACCAGCCAAGUCGCGUGAGGGAAGACUGCCCUAUGGGUUGUAAACCUCUUUUGUCAGGGAGCAAUUGGCGCUACGUGUAGCGUUAUCGAGAGUACCUGAGGAAAAAGCAUCGGCUAACUCAGUGCCAGCAGCCGCGGUAAUACGGAGCAUGCGAGGGUUAUACGGAUUUAUUGGGUUUAAAGGGGGCGUAGGCGGAAUGCCAAGUCGGCGGCAAAAUCGCGGGGCUCAACCUCGCUCCGCCGUUGAAACUGGCGUUCUUGAGUGGGAGAGAAGUAUGCGGAAUGCGUGGUGUAGCGGGGAAAUGCAUAGAUAUCGCGCAGAACUCCGAUUGCGAAGGCAGCAUACCGGCGCCCAACUGACGCUGAGGCACGAAAGCGUGGGUAUCGAACAGGAUUAGAUACCCCUGUAGUC
This 460-nucleotide ribosomal RNA is filed under the name uncultured bacterium. RNAcentral's name for it is "partial 16S ribosomal RNA". It matches the Rfam family "Bacterial small subunit ribosomal RNA", at positions 338 to 795 of the family's 1533-position model. The record is from RNAcentral.